AUACGGCGGAUGCAAGCGUUAUCCGGAUUUAUUGGGUUUAAAGGGUGCGUAGGCGGAUGAUUAAGCGUGAGGUGAAAUGCCACUGCUCAACAGUGGAACUGCCUCGCGAACUGGUUGUCUUGAAUGCUCCUGCCGUGGGAGGAAUGUGUGGUGUAGCGGUGAAAUGCAUAGAGAUCACACAGAACACCGAUUGCGAAGGCAUCUCACGAAGGGGUGAUUGACGCUGAGGCACGAAAGCGUGGGGAUCAAACAGGAUUAGAUACCCUGGUAGUCCACGCAGUAAACGAUGAUAACUAACCGCUGGGUCGUAGUGAUUCAGUGGCCAAGCGAAAGCGAUAAGUUAUCCACCUGGGGAGUACGACCGCAAGGUUGAAACUCAAAGGAAUUGACGGGG
RNAcentral lists this ribosomal RNA (394 nucleotides) under uncultured bacterium. RNAcentral describes it as "partial 16S ribosomal RNA". It matches the Rfam family "Bacterial small subunit ribosomal RNA", at positions 523 to 918 of the family's 1533-position model. The record is from RNAcentral.